AAGGAACAAAGGGCGCACAGUGGAUGCCUAGGCACUAAGAGACGAAGAAGGACGCAACUAACAGCGAAAUGCUUUGGGGAGAUGUAAGUAAUCGACGAUCCAGAGGUAUCCGAAUGGGGCAACCCACCACAUGGAAGAUGUGGUACUUCGAAAGAAGGGUGAGACGCAGGGAACUGAAAUAUCUAAGUACCUGCAGGAAAAGAAAGUAAAAACGAUUCUGCUAGUAGUGACGAGCGAACGCGGAGGAGCCAGAUACCAUAAUAGUUACAAAACUGCUAUAUAGACGAACGGUGUGGGAAAGCCGAUCAGAGAAGGUGAGAAUCCUGUAGUUGAAAUGUAGCAGACUAGGGUAUCAGAAAGUAGGGCGGGACACGAGAAAUCCCGUUUGAAGAUGCGAGGACCAUCUCGUAAGGCUAAAUACUACUUAGUGACCGAUAGUGAACCAG
Molecule: ribosomal RNA, 446 nt
Filed under: Acholeplasma sp. G383
Lineage: Bacteria; Bacillati; Mycoplasmatota; Mollicutes; Acholeplasmatales; Acholeplasmataceae
Description: bacterial LSU rRNA
Rfam family: Bacterial large subunit ribosomal RNA
Source: RNAcentral